GAUGAACGCUGGCGGCGUGCCUAAUACAUGCAAGUCGAGCGAACGGACGAGAAGCUUGCUUCUCUGAUGUUAGCGGCGGACGGGUGAGUAACACGUGGAUAACCUACCUAUAAGACUGGGAUAACUUCGGGAAACCGGAGCUAAUACCGGAUAAUAUUUUGAACCGCAUGGUUCAAAAGUGAAAGACGGUCUUGCUGUCACUUAUAGAUGGAUCCGCGCUGCAUUAGCUAGUUGGUAAGGUAACGGCUUACCAAGGCAACGAUGCAUAGCCGACCUGAGAGGGUGAUCGGCCACACUGGAACUGAGACACGGUCCAGACUCCUACGGGAGGCAGCAGUAGGGAAUCUUCCGCAAUGGGCGAAAGCCUGACGGAGCAACGCCGCGUGAGUGAUGAAGGUCUUCGGAUCGUAAAACUCUGUUAUUAGGGAAGAACAUAUGUGUAAGUAACUGUGCACAUCUUGACGGUACCUAAUCAGAACGCCACGGCUAACUACGUGCCAGCAGCCGCGGUAAUACGUAGGUGGCAAGCGUUAUCAGGAAUUAUUGGGCGUAAAGCGCGCGUAGGCGGUUUUUUAAGUCUGAUGUGAAAGCCCACGGCUCAACCGUGGAGGGUCAUUGGAAACUGGAAAACUUGAGUGCAGAAGAGGAAAGUGGAAUUCCAUGUGUAGCGGUGAAAUGCGCAGAGAUAUGGAGGAACACCAGUGGCGAAGGCGACUUUCUGGUCUGUAACUGACGCUGAUGUGCGAAAGCGUGGGGAUCAAACAGGAUUAGAUACCCUGGUAGUCCACGCCGUAAACGAUGAGUGCUAAGUGUUAGGGGGUUUCCGCCCCUUAGUGCUGCAGCUAACGCAUUAAGCACUCCGCCUGGGGAGUACGACCGCAAGGUUGAAACUCAAAGGAAUUGACGGGGACCCGCACAAGCGGUGGAGCAUGUGGUUUAAUUCGAAGCAACGCGAAGAACCUUACCAAAUCUUGACAUCCUUUGACAACUCUAGAGAUAGAGCUUUCCCCUUCGGGGGACAAAGUGACAGGUGGUGCAUGGUUGUCGUCAGCUCGUGUCGUGAGAUGUUGGGUUAAGUCCCGCAACGAGCGCAACCCUUAAGCUUAGUUGCCAUCAUUAAGUUGGGCACUCUAAGUUGACUGCCGGUGACAAACCGGAGGAAGGUGGGGAUGACGUCAAAUCAUCAUGCCCCUUAUGAUUUGGGCUACACACGUGCUACAAUGGACAAUACAAAGGGCAGCGAAACCGCGAGGUCAAGCAAAUCCCAUAAAGUUGUUCUCAGUUCGGAUUGUAGUCUGCAACUCGACUACAUGAAGCUGGAAUCGCUAGUAAUCGUAGAUCAGCAUGCUACGGUGAAUACGUUCCCGGGUCU
This 1372-nucleotide ribosomal RNA is filed under the name uncultured bacterium. RNAcentral describes it as "bacterial SSU rRNA". It matches the Rfam family "Bacterial small subunit ribosomal RNA", at positions 28 to 1381 of the family's 1533-position model. The record is from RNAcentral.